AAAUAAAAAAAAAUUUAAAAUGUGAACGACCCGAAACCAUACCGAAUUCGAUUUGUCAAAACAUUUAAUAUUGUAUGUACUGCUAUCUGUGGGAGACGCAAUUUUACUUUUUUUAUUU
RNAcentral lists this ribosomal RNA (118 nucleotides) under Helicosporidium sp. ex Simulium jonesi. The record is from RNAcentral. Lineage: Eukaryota; Viridiplantae; Chlorophyta; Trebouxiophyceae; Chlorellales; Chlorellaceae.